AACUUUCGGCAAUGGAUCUCUUGGCUCUCGCAUCGAUGAAGAACGCAGCGAAAUGCGAUAAGUAAUGUGAAUUGCAGAAUCCAGUGAAUCAUCGAAUCUUUGAACGCACAUUGCGCCCGCCAGCAUUCUGGCGGGCAUGCCUGUCCGAGCGUCAUUUCAACCCUCAAGCACUGCUUGGCGUUGGGGCGCUACGCGCUAAGCGUAGGCCCCUAAAAUCAGUGGCGGGCCCGCCGUGGCUCCGGGCGUAGUAGCAACACCUCGCCCUGGGACCGCGGCGCGCUCCGGCCGUUAAAACCCCCACUAUACUGAAGGUUGACCUCGGAUCAGGUAGGAAUACCCGCUGAACUUAAGCAUAUCAAUAAGCGGAGGCU
RNAcentral lists this unclassified non-coding RNA (371 nucleotides) under uncultured Sordariomycetes. RNAcentral's name for it is "sequence contains ITS2". The stretch from base 1 to 154 matches the Rfam family "5.8S ribosomal RNA". The record is from RNAcentral. Lineage: Eukaryota; Fungi; Ascomycota; Sordariomycetes.